GGGGAUGUAGCUCAAUGGCACAGUAUUUGCCUGGCAUGUAAAACGCCUUGGGUUUGACCCCAGCAAUGCUA
RNAcentral lists this transfer RNA (71 nucleotides) under Cavia porcellus (domestic guinea pig). It matches the Rfam family "tRNA". Rfam says of the family: Transfer RNA (tRNA) molecules are approximately 80 nucleotides in length. Their secondary structure includes four short double-helical elements and three loops (D, anti-codon, and T loops). Further hydrogen bonds mediate the characteristic L-shaped molecular structure. tRNAs have two regions of fundamental functional importance: the anti-codon, which is responsible for specific mRNA codon recognition, and the 3' end, to which the tRNAs corresponding amino acid is attached (by aminoacyl-tRNA synthetases). tRNAs cope with the degeneracy of the genetic code in two manners: having more than one tRNA (with a specific anti-codon) for a particular amino acid; and 'wobble' base-pairing, i.e. permitting non-standard base-pairing at the 3rd anti-codon position. The record is from Rfam by way of RNAcentral. Lineage: Eukaryota; Metazoa; Chordata; Mammalia; Rodentia; Caviidae.